Molecule: small RNA, 72 nt
Filed under: uncultured Superficieibacter sp.
Lineage: Bacteria; Pseudomonadati; Pseudomonadota; Gammaproteobacteria; Enterobacterales; Enterobacteriaceae
Description: tpke11
Rfam family: tpke11
About the family: In Yersinia located in ICR upstream dnaJ (chaperone)gene.
Source: RNAcentral
AUGGGUUAUAAACUGGCACGGGCGAAGGGGUUUCCUCUCCGCCCGUGCUCGCAUGUUAGGGGCUGAAAAAGA